This 235-nucleotide ribosomal RNA is filed under the name uncultured bacterium. RNAcentral describes it as "partial 16S ribosomal RNA". It matches the Rfam family "Bacterial small subunit ribosomal RNA", at positions 96 to 334 of the family's 1533-position model. The record is from RNAcentral.
UGGCGGACGGGUGAGUAAUGUCUGGGAAACUGCCCGAUGGAGGGGGAUAACUACUGGAAACGGUAGCUAAUACCGCAUAACGUCGCAAGACCAAAGAGGGGGACCUUCGGGCCUCUUGCCAUCGGAUGUGCCCAGAUGGGAUUAGCUAGUAGGUGGGGUAAAGGCUCACCUAGGCGACGAUCCCUAGCUGGUCUGAGAGGAUGACCAGCCACACUGGAACUGAGACACGGUCCAA